Molecule: ribosomal RNA, 253 nt
Filed under: uncultured bacterium
Lineage: Bacteria
Description: partial 16S ribosomal RNA
Rfam family: Bacterial small subunit ribosomal RNA
Source: RNAcentral
UACGAAGGGGGCUAGCGUUGCUCGGAAUGACUGGGCGUAAAGGGCGCGUAGGCGGCUUGGUUUGUCAGGCGUGAAAGUCUUGGGCUCAACCUGGGGACGGCGGUUGGGACGGCUGGGCUAGAGUGGGGAAGAGGGUCGUGGAAUUCCCAGUGUAGAGGUGAAAUUCGUAGAUAUUGGGAAGAACACCGGUGGCGAAGGCGGCGACCUGGUCCUUGACUGACGCUGAGGCGCGAGAGCGUGGGGAGCAAACAGG